Long non-coding RNA from Xenopus laevis (African clawed frog), 202 nucleotides. RefSeq lists it as uncharacterized. The record is from RefSeq and is a predicted model, not a curated record. The transcript has 2 exons. NCBI's taxonomy places the organism in Eukaryota, Metazoa, Chordata, Amphibia, Anura, Pipidae.
GCAUUUCUAAUGAUGGAAGAUCUAUUGGUCAAGUAAAAGUUACUCUGUUAUGAAGAGGAGGUUCUCAGAAAGCAAAACAUGAAACCACUUUCCAGGUCCGUGAGGAAGAAUAAACAGUCCAAAGAUGCAUCUGAAAGCUUCUAAACGCUGCACUGGUUCAUGUUACAUGGAAAUAAAAAGAAUUAAAUAUUAAUGAAAAUCA